Long non-coding RNA from Aethalodelphis obliquidens (Pacific white-sided dolphin), 690 nucleotides. RefSeq lists it as uncharacterized. The record is from RefSeq and is a predicted model, not a curated record. NCBI's taxonomy places the organism in Eukaryota, Metazoa, Chordata, Mammalia, Artiodactyla, Delphinidae. The transcript has 2 exons.
CGGGACUCGGGAAUCGGGCGGGCUGGCUGCAGGCUGCGGCGCUCGGACCCCGCCUCGGCCUGGGCCUCCCCGCGGGGAGGAUGAGCUGCGGACGGGAGGAGGGGCAGGGCUCCAGAAAGCGGGGACUGAGCUGGGGAGGGGAGGGCCGGCCCGCGCAGACCAGGGGCCCACCGGGGUGCGGGGAGUGGGGGGUGGUGCCCCUGAACUUGGCCGCCCCGGAGGCUUGUGGUCUUUCCACCGCAGGCUGGUCCGGGGAGGCGCGGGGCGGGCGGCUGUUUCUCCUGGAAGGGCCAGCAGCCCGGUCGCCCGCCGGGGCCCUCGCCGGCCCCUCCCCGAGACCUCGAACGUUCCAGAGCCCGGGGAACCCUCACAUCAGCUAGAUUGCCUCACAGUCUCUCAGAUGAACCGGAGGACCAUAUCUUUGCAGUAUCUCCUCCAGUGAGUAGAUUCUAUUCAGCAGUGUCCUCGGCUUGUUCUCCUAUUCUGUGAAACCUUCCCUGACAACCAAACAUCCAACCAACCCCAUCCGUCUCAUCAGCAUUUCUGGAAGCCAGGCACUAGGUUAGAUAAGUAUGACUAAACCACCAUCAUUUCUCCCUUCCCUGGAUUUCUAUGGCCGUGCUUGAAUCAAUGUCUUAUACAGCAUCUUGCACAUGGUAGGCAGUCAAUAAAUAAUUAUCAGCUGAUAAA